This 1090-nucleotide ribosomal RNA is filed under the name Penicillium sp. LY 55.3. Its description in RNAcentral is "eukaryotic LSU rRNA". The stretch from base 471 to 1090 matches the Rfam family "Eukaryotic large subunit ribosomal RNA", at positions 1 to 634 of the family's 3401-position model. The record is from RNAcentral. Lineage: Eukaryota; Fungi; Ascomycota; Eurotiomycetes; Eurotiales; Aspergillaceae.
ACCUCCCACCCGUGUUUAUUUUACCUUGUUGCUUCGGCGAGCCUGCCUUUUGGCUGCCGGGGGACAUCUGUCCCCGGGUCCGCGCUCGCCGAAGACACCUUAGAACUCUGUCUGAAGAUUGUAGUCUGAGAUUAAAUAUAAAUUAUUUAAAACUUUCAACAACGGAUCUCUUGGUUCCGGCAUCGAUGAAGAACGCAGCGAAAUGCGAUACGUAAUGUGAAUUGCAGAAUUCAGUGAAUCAUCGAGUCUUUGAACGCACAUUGCGCCCUCUGGUAUUCCGGAGGGCAUGCCUGUCCGAGCGUCAUUGCUGCCCUCAAGCACGGCUUGUGUGUUGGGCUCCGUCCUCCUUCCGGGGGACGGGCCCSAAAGGCAGCGGCGGCACCGCGUCCGGUCCUCAAGCGUAUGGGGCUUUGUCACCCGCUUUGUAGGACUGGCCGGCGCCUGCCGAUCAACCAAACUUUUUUCCAGGUUGACCUCGGAUCAGGUAGGGAUACCCGCUGAACUUAAGCAUAUCAAUAAGCGGAGGAAAAGAAACCAACAGGGAUUGCCCCAGUAACGGCGAGUGAAGCGGCAAGAGCUCAAAUUUGAAAGCUGGCUCCUUCGGGGUCCGCAUUGUAAUUUGCAGAGGAUGCUUCGGGAGCGGUCCCCAUCUAAGUGCCCUGGAACGGGACGUCAUAGAGGGUGAGAAUCCCGUAUGGGAUGGGGUGUCCGCGCCCGUGUGAAGCUCCUUCGACGAGUCGAGUUGUUUGGGAAUGCAGCUCUAAAUGGGUGGUAAAUUUCAUCUAAAGCUAAAUAUUGGCCGGAGACCGAUAGCGCACAAGUAGAGUGAUCGAAAGAUGAAAAGCACUUUGAAAAGAGAGUUAAAAAGCACGUGAAAUUGUUGAAAGGGAAGCGCUUGCGACCAGACUCGCUCGCGGGGUUCAGCCGGCAUUCGUGCCGGUGUACUUCCCCGCGAGCGGGCCAGCGUCGGUUUGGGCGGUCGGUCAAAGGCCUCUGGAAGGUAACGCCCCCUCGGGGGCGUCUUAUAGCCAGGGGUGCAAUGCGGCCUGCCCGGACCGAGGAACGCGCUUCGGCUCGGACGCUGGCAUAA